This 434-nucleotide ribosomal RNA is filed under the name uncultured soil bacterium. RNAcentral describes it as "bacterial SSU rRNA". It matches the Rfam family "Bacterial small subunit ribosomal RNA", at positions 26 to 468 of the family's 1533-position model. The record is from RNAcentral.
AGAUUGAACGCUGGCGGCAUGCCUUACACAUGCAAGUCGAACGGCAGCGCGGGGCAACCUGGCGGCGAGUGGCGAACGGGUGAGUAAUAUAUCGGAACGUACCCUGGAGUGGGGGAUAACGUAGCGAAAGUUACGCUAAUACCGCAUACGAUCUAAGGAUGAAAGUGGGGGAUUCGCAAGAACCUCAUGCUCCUGGAGCGGCCGAUAUCUGAUUAGCUAGUUGGUGGGUAAAGGCCUACCAAAGGCAUCGAUCAGUAGCUGGUCUGAGAGGACGACCAGCCACACUGGAACUGAGACACGGUCAGACUCUACGGGAGGCAGCAGUGGGAAUUUUGGACAAGUGGGCGAAAGCCUGAUCCAGCAAUGCCGCGUGAGUGAAGAAGGCUUCGGUUAGUAAGCUCUUUGUCAGGAAGAACGGUGAGAGUACGUAAUAU